RNAcentral lists this long non-coding RNA (1158 nucleotides) under Monodelphis domestica (gray short-tailed opossum). RNAcentral's name for it is "lncRNA (ENSMODG00000037090.1)". The record is from RNAcentral. Lineage: Eukaryota; Metazoa; Chordata; Mammalia; Didelphimorphia; Didelphidae.
AUCCUAAUUAGGAAGCUGAAAUCCAAAGAGUCAGGAGACAUUGAAGAAUCUGCCCAGAACCUUCAGUGCACACCAGGCUAAGAUUGCCAAGAAUAUCACCAGAAUUCACACUGAAGGAAGUAUCCCACCAAAGAGCCAAUGAGCAGAGAGGGUCUCCUCACUGAAAAACCAAGGAAGCAAUCACUCCAUUCACCACCACAGGAUCCAACUGUAGUAAGCAAAGGAUUCUGCAAAAUGAACUGCAUUUGAUUGACAGGGACAUGAGGCAGAGAAUCACAUGGGAGCCUAGGUCAAGAUUCUAAGGUCCCAACUGAAAAAAAAAAACAAGCAAAAAAAAAACAGACUUCUAGGGGAAGUUUAGAGUUAGCUGAGAUUUCCAUCUUUCUACAAGGUUUCUAGCCCUUUUGUGAGUUACCAGCUUGAGAGGAGAAAAACUGCUUUUAUUGGCUGCUGGCAGAUGGACAGAAGACCAAAGAAGAACCAUCCUUUCUUAGCUGGACCUACUUUGAACUUUACCUCUGGGACCUUGGCUCAUUUUUACUGGACUCUGUUUUGUGAGUCUGUCCAGGCUUUGGUGUAAAGAUGGCUAAGCCUAAGAACCACACCACCCACAACCAAUCACGAAAAUGGCACAGAAAUGGUAUCAAGAAAUCUAGGUCAUAGAGAUACAGGUCACUGAAAGAGGUCUGAGAAACAUGAGCUUUGCCAAGAAGGGGCUGAAGAAGAUGCAGGCCACCAACACCAAAGCCACCAAGACCUGAGCAGAGGCCAUCAAGGCUCUGAGCAUCAAGGGCAAGUUCCUAGGGCCCAAGAUCUCUUAUACCUUCCUGCUUACUAGAGUUCACUACUUUUUCAUCCCACACUCAAUUUCUACCUCAAGGUCAGUGUCAGGGAUGGCUUGAGGAACUUGAAAAGUUCUACAUGCCCACCACAAACAUCAGGUCAGAUACUCAAGGCUCUCAAGGCUCCUCGUUCAAAUCCCCUUUUAUCAGCACCAAAGAUAAUGUAGUAAGACUUUUAAAAUUUAGAUUUUAAGAAAUUUGACAGUAAGAAGGAAAUCUGAAUUAGUGAUCAUUGUAGUCCCCAAAGUACUUACCACAAGGGUUUGAAAAUCAGGUAUUUAAUAAAUAUCUUUUGAAAUAAAGCUUGGAAAGAAAA